UAGGGUUUGAUCAUGGCUCAGGAUGAACGCUGGCGGCGUGCCUAAUACAUGCAAGUCGAACGCUUUGUGGUUCAACUGAUUUGAAGAGCUUGCUCAGAUAUGACGAUGGACAUUGCAAAGAGUGGCGAACGGGUGAGUAACACGUGGGAAACCUACCUCUUAGCAGGGGAUAACAUUUGGAAACAGAUGCUAAUACCGUAUAACAAUGACAACCGCAUGGUUGUUAUUUAAAAGAUGGUUCUGCUAUCACUAAGAGAUGGUCCCGCGGUGCAUUAGCUAGUUGGUAAGGUAAUGGCUUACCAAGGCGAUGAUGCAUAGCCGAGUUGAGAGACUGAUCGGCCACAAUGGGACUGAGACACGGCCCAUACUCCUACGGGAGGCAGCAGUAGGGAAUCUUCCACAAUGGGCGAAAGCCUGAUGGAGCAACGCCGCGUGUGUGAUGAAGGGUUUCGGCUCGUAAAACACUGUUGUAAGAGAAGAAUGACAUUGAGAGUAACUGUUCAAUGUGUGACGGUAUCUUACCAGAAAGGAACGGCUAAAUACGUGCCAGCAGCCGCGGUAAUACGUAUGUUCCAAGCGUUAUCCGGAUUUAUUGGGCGUAAAGCGAGCGCAGACGGUUAUUUAAGUCUGAAGUGAAAGCCCUCAGCUCAACUGAGGAAUUGCUUUGGAAACUGGAUGACUUGAGUGCAGUAGAGGAAAGUGGAACUCCAUGUGUAGCGGUGAAAUGCGUAGAUAUAUGGAAGAACACCAGUGGCGAAGGCGGCUUUCUGGACUGUAACUGACGUUGAGGCUCGAAAGUGUGGGUAGCAAACAGGAUUAGAUACCCUGGUAGUCCACACCGUAAACGAUGAGUGCUAGGUGUUUGAGGGUUUCCGCCCUUAAGUGCCGCAGCUAACGCAUUAAGCACUCCGCCUGGGGAGUACGACCGCAAGGUUGAAACUCAAAGGAAUUGACGGGGACCCGCACAAGCGGUGGAGCAUGUGGUUUAAUUCGAAGCAACGCGAAGAACCUUACCAGGUCUUGACAUCCCUUGACAACUCCAGAGAUGGAGCGUUCCCUUCGGGGACAAGGUGACAGGUGGUGCAUGGUUGUCGUCAGCUCGUGUCGUGAGAUGUUGGGUUAAGUCCCGCAACGAGCGCAACCCUUAUUACUAGUUGCCAGCAUUCAGUUGGGCACUCUAGUGAGACUGCCGGUGACAAACCGGAGGAAGGUGGGGAUGACGUCAAAUCAUCAUGCCCCUUAUGACCUGGGCUACACACGUGCUACAAUGGCGUAUACAACGAGUUGCCAACCCGCGAGGGUGAGCUAAUCUCUUAAAGUACGUCUCAGUUCGGAUUGUAGGCUGCAACUCGCCUACAUGAAGUCGGAAUCGCUAGUAAUCGCGGAUCAGCACGCCGCGGUGAAUACGUUCCCGGGUCUUGUACACACCGCCCGUCACACCAUGAGAGUUUGUAACACCCAAAGCCGGUGGGGUAACCUUCGGGAGCCAGCCGUCUAAGGUGGGACAGAUGAUUAGGGUGAAGUCGUAACAAGGUAACC
This 1539-nucleotide ribosomal RNA is filed under the name uncultured bacterium. Its description in RNAcentral is "bacterial SSU rRNA". It matches the Rfam family "Bacterial small subunit ribosomal RNA". The record is from RNAcentral.